GUGCUGAGGAUUGAACCCAAUGCCUCACACAUGCUUGGUGGGCACUAUACCACUGAGUUACAACCCCAGCCCCCAUGAGUUCGUUUUAAGAUAAGAACAGUGGGCAGAGAUUUGAGAGAAUAUAGGAGGUAGAAUCUAUAAAACUUGGUAACUGAUUAGAUGUGGGAUGGGAUGUUUCUGUCCGUCAGUUAAUAAAUAUUCAUUAAAUUUAGUGCUAAGCAUAGUCCCAGAUGCUCUAAAUGCAGCAGUGAUUUUGUAAAACAUAGUUCCCUCUCUUGAAUAGUUUAGAAUUUAGUAGGGGAAGUAGAAAAAAAUGAGAAUGAGAGAAGUAUUAUGAAAAUAAAAGUGAUGUGAAAGGGUGUGAGAUGAGAGUUCUAAUUUAAUGGUCAGAGAAGGCCUUGCUGGGUACCUGCCAUUGUCAUAUAAAUAUGUAUUUAUUGCUUUGGUAAAAUUAAAAUACUUUCUAAAAUUUGAAAACAUAAGCAAUGAAAGAACCAUAAAAGAUUCUUUAAAAACCUGACCCAAGAAGUAUGGGGAAACUGGGUUACACUAUUGAGGAAAACCAGAGGACAGGAGUUUGAAAGGACAGAAAGGUCAGCAGUGUCUAGAACUUAAGAAAGGGCAAUCAGGUAAGACCUGAAAUUUGUCAUUUGGAUUUGACAAUUGGUGAACCUAGUGAAAGCAGUUUAUUUAGAAUGGUGGGUGCAGAAACCAGAUGGCAGGUGGGUUGGAGAAUUGAAUGCGAGGAAGUAGAAACAGUUUCUGGGAGCUUGAUUUGAUAAAAUAAUAGCUAUCGUUCAUUGUGCCAGCCUCUUUGCAGGGAACCCUACUUAACUGACCUCAUCUAACCCUAAACAAUCUAUGAGAUAGGUAUUAUUAUUUUCAUUUUACAAAUGGGGAAAUUGUUCAGGGUCACACCAGGAGAGGUAUUAGCCUUGGACUGGAGAAGGACUACCAUUAAAUUAAAGCUAGAAAGAUGAGUUAUUGUAGGGCUGGGAUGUAGCUCAGUAAUAGAGUGCUUGCCUAGAAAUGUGAUCUCAGGUUGAUAUUUGCAAAUCAAUGUGAAAAUAACCAAGGUUUUUUUUCUGUUGGUAGUUGAAGCUAUUUUCCCCCCAGUUCCGUGGCUUUAGGACUUACAGUACGAUAUUUGCUAAAUAAAAGUCUGGUGCAGUGGCACACAUCUAUAGUCCCCACUACUCAGGAGAAUGAGACAGGGAUCACUUGAGCCCGGGAGUUCAAGACCAGCCUAGUAAAAU
Molecule: long non-coding RNA, 1256 nt
Filed under: Marmota monax (woodchuck)
Lineage: Eukaryota; Metazoa; Chordata; Mammalia; Rodentia; Sciuridae
Source: RNAcentral